This 127-nucleotide ribosomal RNA is filed under the name uncultured Anaeromyxobacter sp. Its description in RNAcentral is "partial 16S ribosomal RNA". It matches the Rfam family "Bacterial small subunit ribosomal RNA", at positions 405 to 525 of the family's 1533-position model. Lineage: Bacteria; Pseudomonadati; Myxococcota; Myxococcia; Myxococcales; Anaeromyxobacteraceae. The record is from RNAcentral.
GUGAUGAAGGCCUUCGGNGUGUAAAGCNCUGUCCGGAGGGAAGAAAACCCGUUGGCUAACAUCCAACGGCUUGACGGUACCUCGAGAAGAAGCACCGGCUAACUCUGUGCCAGCAGCCGCGGUAAUA